GCGGCACGCUUCAUACAUGCAAGUCGAGGGGCAGCAUAAAGUACUUGUACUUUGAUGGCGACCGGCGAACGGGUGCGUAACGCGUAUGCAACUUACCUUUUACUAGAGAAUAGCCAAGAGAAAUUUUGAUUAAUGCUCUAUACUCUUAUUAACUCACAUGAGUUUUUAAGAAAAGCUCCGGCGGUAAAAGAUGGGCAUGCGUCCUAUUAGCUUGUAGGUGAGGUAACGGCUCACCUAAGCUCCGAUAGGUAGGGGUCCUGAGAGGGAGAUCCCCCACACUGGUACUGAGACACGGACCAGACUUCUACGGAAGGCAGCAGUAAGGAAUAUUGGACAAUGGAGGCAACUCUGAUCCAGCGAUGCCGCGUGAAGGAAGACGGCCCUAUGGGUUGUAAACUUCUUUUAUACAGGAAGAAACCUUUCCACGUGUGGAAAGCUGACGGUACUGUAAGAAUAAGGAUCGGCUAACUCCGUGCCAGCAGCCGCGGUAAUACGGAGGAUCCAAGCGUUAUCCGGAAUUAUUGGGUUUAAAGGGUCCGCAGGCUGUUUGUUAAGUCAGGGGUGAAAUCCUACCGCUCAACGGUAGAACUGCCUUUGAUACUGGCAAACUUGAGUUAUUGUGAAGUAGUUAGAAUGUGUAGUGUAGCGGUGAAAUGCAUAGAUAUUACACAGAAUACCGAUUGCGAAAGCAGAUUACUAACAAUAUACUGACGCUGAGGGACGAAAGCGUGGGUAGCGAACAGGAUUAGAUACCCUGGUAGUCCACGCCGUAAACGAUGGUCACUAGCUGUUUGAUGUACAUUGGUACAUUGAGUGGCUAAGCGAAAGUGAUAAGUGACCCACCUGGGGAGUACGCUC
This 858-nucleotide ribosomal RNA is filed under the name uncultured Flavobacteriaceae bacterium. RNAcentral's name for it is "bacterial SSU rRNA". It matches the Rfam family "Bacterial small subunit ribosomal RNA", at positions 39 to 887 of the family's 1533-position model. Lineage: Bacteria; Pseudomonadati; Bacteroidota; Flavobacteriia; Flavobacteriales; Flavobacteriaceae. The record is from RNAcentral.